Molecule: non-coding RNA, 1022 nt
Organism: Megalopta genalis
Lineage: Eukaryota; Metazoa; Arthropoda; Insecta; Hymenoptera; Halictidae
Source: RefSeq, a predicted model, not a curated record
CUUUUCAAGAUGCUAGGGAUAAUAAGCUGAGUUUCUUUUCUUUAAUUUGGAAUAUAUUUGAACAUUCAACUUCACAUCGAUACAGAGUAUAGUUUUUAGAGAGUAGACUAUUCCGUGUUCGGGUUGAUGGUAGAAUGACUGUUGUGUGUUGUGUGUUCUCGGAGGUAAAUUCGGUGUGGGUGUGUUCUAAAUUUGAGACAGUCGGAUUCGUGGAUUGUUCAAUUCUUGCGAGGAGUGAGGGAAACGAUCGCCCUGACUGAUUGGAUUGCAAAAUUAGGAAAGUGACCGCCUCAAAGUAAGGGUCCCCCGCAGGGCCGUUAUCAUUGAUUUGCAGGAGCACGACGUUGCCUGGUUCCCACCGAUACUUGAAGUAGAUUCUAGAAGUGGAGAUGGGUCCUGAACAAAACUGCAGUACUGACUCCGGGAAGCUUGACACCGGCCCAGCUUUUCUGGGUGUGUGCAGCCAGUAUAAUAAGAGAAGUGAAAUCUAAUCCAUUAAGCGAAGUAACAAUUGGAGGAAUUCCAUUGAAUAUUGACCAGAUGUUUCCUUUGUCAGAGGUUCCGCUAGAAGUUAAUAGUACGCUUUAUUGUGCUUCUUGCGAAUACACAUUACGUUCUAUUCAGGAAACUUCACCAGAUAAUAUUACAGAGGCCGAGGUGAAAGAAGCGUUACAAAAUGUAUUUAAAAGUUUACCUGAAAUUAUUAGCGACGAAUGUUCACAAUGUAUAGAUUCAUAUGGAGAAGUUAUUGUUGGUUUAUUAGUUCAAGGAAUCGACCCAGCCGAGGGAUGUACAAAGUUACUUCUAUGCCCUACAAAUACCUAACGAAAUACCGGAUACAAUCUCAUUUGAAAAUAAUGAGUGGGGUGGUAAUGAAAAGAAGAUUGUUAUAGAGGAAAAGGGGAGUAUUAAUUAGAAAAAGAGGAUUGAACACAACGUAUGCGAAUUGGUUGUACGCUAUGUUUGUAAAAGAAUUGUUGGCAGUAGAACAGAAAACAAAAAUAAAUAUGUUACGCACACAA